This 2068-nucleotide unclassified non-coding RNA is filed under the name Hevea brasiliensis (rubber tree). Lineage: Eukaryota; Viridiplantae; Streptophyta; Magnoliopsida; Malpighiales; Euphorbiaceae. The record is from RNAcentral.
CAUAAGCACCAGCUUCCCUCAUCACGGCCUCUUCUUCUUUCACUUUGAUCUCCUCGGUAAGGCGAGUGACAUCGGCAGUUCGGCAGGCCCAAGCUUCUUCGAGUUCUCGCUCCAGUUCGGCUAUCCUAUACUCAUAAGAUUUCGUCCGACCCUCAAUCUCGGCAAUAUAGUCCUGAGUAGACGAAAGUUGGGUUUUGGCAGAAGCAGCGUCCUAGACCGCCUUCAGAAUUUCUUGUCUCAAGAGAUGAGCCUUUUCUCUGAUUAUAUGUUGAUUCACAAGGCUCUCUACGCUCAAGCUCAUCGUCUGAGCCAGAAGGUCGUCAAUGCUAUCAGGAGUCAGCCUAUUCCGGUCGUCCUAGAAGCAGAUGGUGGCACCCAAAACCUUGGCCAGGCCAGGAUUCCCUCGAACCAAGCGAUUCUUAUCUAGCGAGUGAAUGUGAAUCUGGGCUCCACGAGAGAGGGUCCUCACAGCAGGUUGGGAAGACCCUCCUUCCGCACUUAAAGAAACCGACGGAAGUGGCAGUUCAUCUUGUCGAGGAGGGGAAUGAGCAAUCUCUAUCUCUGGGGUUGAUUGUCCCAAAAGUCGAGACGAAGAGCCCGGCACUUCUACCGAGUCUCGCCCUAGCGUCUGGGAUACAACAGCAAUCUUCAUUUCUCGUACUUUUCGGGCGACCUCCCUUUUUCGCUUACGGCUCUUUUUCGCGCCCUCGCCUCCAGCCAUACCUGCACAGAAAACAAGUUAGUGAGAUCACCUAAGUCAGGAGGCUAAAGAUUUAAGUUAUACCGAUCCCGAGUCUGAGGUCAGAGAGCUGCAGCUCAUAAUCCUCAUGGGCGAUCAUCUGCAUUAGCCACUACUUCAGUUAGGCCAUAACUGCAUCUAGACAUGAAUACUUGUGCGUAGCCGCCUGAUCCUUCAAUUCCUUUACCAUGACGUCCUCAUCUCUAUUUAGAGCGAUCUUCUUAGGAACCGAAGGGACCAAGUACUGCUAACUGCGUGGGAUACCCUCGAAGCCAUUCAGAAUCUUACUCCUCAAUAUGAAGAACCGGUUCUUUCAAUUCUUCAACGAAGAAGGGAGAUCGGUAAAAAGCCCACAAUGCGGCUUGGCUUGGAAAAACUAAUACUCGUCGUCCUUUCGUCGAGUGAGUCUAUGCAACUCAGCGAAAACCUUUACUGUAGGCUCGAGCUUUUUAGCUCAACAUAAACCUCUGAAAGCCACUAGAAUCCGCCAAGAGUUCGGGUGCACUUGGGCUACGCAUACAUGAUGAAACUUCAGAACGGCUCUAAAUAAUUAGUCCAGGGGGAACCGAAGCCCGGCCUUCAAUUGUUCUUCAUAUACCAUAAUUAUGUCAUUUUCUUCAAAGAAAUGAUAAGCUCGGAGAUCGCCAUGACAUCUGAUAAGCUCGUACGAGUCGGUCCGAAGGUUGUACUCCUGACUAAUGAGUUGCAGAUCGGUUUCUUGAAGGACUGACGGCAACUCAUCCACGGAAAGAUUUUCUCCCAGAGGAAGCUGUCCGUCUUGAUUGUGCCGCUUGACCAUGGGCUGAAGCAGAGGUCGUAGGAGGCUCAGGUCGCCCACUUAGCCUGACCACAUCAACUUCGUCCGACGUCCAAGAGAUAUGGACGGAAGGGAGGCUCGCCGCUCUCUGACCCUCGGCGCUGCUCAUUUUCAAGGAAAUAAAAAAAAAGCUUAAGUAAGAGAAGGAUUAAAGUCCUUACCGGAGUGUGAUCGGUGCUGGAAAAACUUGAAGAAAUGAGAGAAAGUUGAAAUUGCGAGCAGAGUGCUGAAAAUGGCAUAGGGGAGCAACUGAGAGACCCUCCCCCUAUUUAUACCCGUGUGAGCAUUCAAUGCUCACAAAGUCCCAAGCGGUGCAUCGGUUAGCGGAAUCCACCCGCUUUCCUGACACGUCACAGGAAGAUUCCAGAAACACAAUAAAUAAAAUAAAAUGAGAUUGGCUAGCUAAGGUCGUCGGAUUAAAGUAGAUGUUCAGAGUCAUAGGUCAGCUAAGGGUGAUUUAGUUAGGAACCAAAUCGGAUAGGCACAUCAGAGAUCGGAAAAUAACCAAUGCA